AAUAUUAAUUACGAAAGCAAAAAAUUAUGGCGGUAUUUUAAGCUUUUCAGAGGAAUUUGCUCUUUAAUGGAUAAAACACCUAGAUCUUACUUAAAUUAGCGCUUUUCAGUUUGUAUACCACUAUUAUAAUAAUAAUUUAUUAUUAUUAUUAAUAUUCUUGCAUUUAGAAAAAAAUUAAGUCAAGGUGCAGCAUAAAUUUAUGAAUGAAGUGAAUUACAUUUCUUUUUAGAAAAAAAAAAUUGAAAUAAGACGUUUAGGAUUUGAUAGUAAAAUUAAAAUACAAAG
RNAcentral lists this ribosomal RNA (285 nucleotides) under Hyalomma anatolicum. RNAcentral's name for it is "partial small subunit ribosomal RNA". The record is from RNAcentral. Lineage: Eukaryota; Metazoa; Arthropoda; Arachnida; Ixodida; Ixodidae.